Molecule: microRNA precursor, 104 nt
Filed under: Marmota monax (woodchuck)
Lineage: Eukaryota; Metazoa; Chordata; Mammalia; Rodentia; Sciuridae
Source: RNAcentral
AACAUUAUUACCUGAGGAUCUUAUUAAAAUGUAGAUUCUGAUUAAGUAGGUCUGGAUGGGCCCUGAACUUCUGCAUUUCUGCUGAGUUCCUGGUCAACACAGAU